GUCUCACUGGAGUUUGUAACAGGUGUUUGGACUGUUAAACAUUCACUGGACAUUUAUUUUCUAUUCUGCAUCAGUCUUGAAGGCCUCCAUUUUUGGCCACCAUCAGAGACUGUGGCAGAUGGGCCUCUGGUUCAUCUUGGAAUAACCACUACUCUUUUCCUGUGCUCUGACUGUUUUUCCCGCUGUGUUCAGAGCAAAACCUCAGCUUCUCACAUUCAACCACCAGACCCUUUGAAGCAGCUGCUGCCAGACAACCAGCAAUUUGAGACACCCUUCCCUGCAAACACAGGAUCAGAGAUUUCUAAAACAAUGGGAUUAUUCCUGAAUCUCAGCAACUUCAAGCAUAGAACAAAACAUCUAUCAUGUUAGAAAUAAAGCAGCUCCAGAUAACA
This 392-nucleotide long non-coding RNA is filed under the name Phasianus colchicus (ring-necked pheasant). RNAcentral's name for it is "lncRNA (ENSPCLG00000021862.1)". The record is from RNAcentral. Lineage: Eukaryota; Metazoa; Chordata; Aves; Galliformes; Phasianidae.